RNAcentral lists this long non-coding RNA (317 nucleotides) under Ananas comosus (pineapple). RNAcentral's name for it is "long non-coding RNA (ACOM_LNC040930)". The record is from RNAcentral. Lineage: Eukaryota; Viridiplantae; Streptophyta; Magnoliopsida; Poales; Bromeliaceae.
GCCGACAGACCGCCGAACGGACAGGAUUUUUCCUGUACCGCGGACAGUCUCCCCUGUACAUUCAAGGCGUCGCAAUCAAUACAAUGUACAAAGUUCCAACCAGGAACACAUUUCAAUCAAAGAUUGCAUAAUGGAAGUAUCAAAACAUAACACAUCCUAUGUUAUUACAUGCAUUCACAUUCAUAUAUUUUUACAUCACAAUUCUCAUUUGAUUCUUACACUAGCUUUCACUUAACUUCCAAAUACAAUCCGAUUCAACAUAAUUAUUACAACUUGAUUCUUUUUAUUCUUUACAUCCCUAAGCAAAGCCGACUCGG